GGUGCACACAAAACCCAAAGAUUAUUAUUCUGUGUAAUAAUCUUGUCUGGUGUGCACACAGCAACAGGACUUUGUCGCCUUUCUGGAGCUGAUGUGCCCAUGAAAGUGAAACUUAAGGUCCUACACUU
Molecule: small nucleolar RNA, 128 nt
Organism: Rana temporaria (common frog)
Lineage: Eukaryota; Metazoa; Chordata; Amphibia; Anura; Ranidae
Product: small nucleolar RNA SNORA68
Exons: 1
Source: RefSeq, a predicted model, not a curated record